RNAcentral lists this ribosomal RNA (440 nucleotides) under uncultured bacterium. RNAcentral's name for it is "partial 16S ribosomal RNA". It matches the Rfam family "Bacterial small subunit ribosomal RNA", at positions 338 to 795 of the family's 1533-position model. The record is from RNAcentral.
CCUACGGGUGGCAGCAGUGGGGAAUAUUGCACAAUGGGGGAAACCCUGAUGCAGCGACGCCGCGUGCGUGAAGAAGUAAUUCGUUAUGUAAAGCUCUAUCAGCAGGGAAGAAAAUGACGGUACCUGAUUAAGAAGCCUCGGCUAACUACGUGCCAGCAGCCGCGGUAAUACGUAGGGGGCAAGCGUUAUCCGGAUUUACUGGGUGUAAAGGGAGCGUAGACGGCAGUGCAAGUCUGGAGUGAAAGGCUGGGGCUCAACCCCCGGACUGCUCUGGAAACUGUACGGCUGGAGUGCCGGAGAGGUAAGUGGAAUUCCUAGUGUAGCGGUGAAAUGCGUAGAUAUUAGGAGGAACACCAGUGGCGAAGGCGGCUUACUGGACUGUAACUGACGUUGAGGCGCGAAAGCGUGGGGAGCAAACAGGAUUAGAUACUCCUGUAGUC